This 362-nucleotide unclassified non-coding RNA is filed under the name soil metagenome. RNAcentral's name for it is "partial contains 5.8S ribosomal RNA, internal transcribed spacer 2, and large subunit ribosomal RNA". The stretch from base 1 to 120 matches the Rfam family "5.8S ribosomal RNA", at positions 35 to 154 of the family's 154-position model. The record is from RNAcentral.
GAUGAAGAACGUAGCGAAAUGCGAUAAGUAGUGUGAAUUGCAGAAUUCCGUGAAUCAUCGAAUCUUUGAACGCACCUUGCGCUCCUUGGUAUUCCGAGGAGCAUGCCUGUUUGAGUGUCAUUAAUAUAUCAACCUUCUCUUUUUUGAGUUGUUUGGAUGUGGGGGUUUGCUGGCCUCUUAAAUGAUUCAGCUCCCCUGAAAUGCAUUAGCAGAACAACCUGUUCAUUAGCGUGAUAAUUAUCUAUGCUAUUGAAUGUGAGGGCAGUUCAGCUUUCUAACCGUCCUUGGACAAUUCAUCAUUAAUGUGACCUCAAAUCAGGUAGGACUACCCGCUGAACUUAAGCAUAUCAAUAAGCGGAGGA